This 97-nucleotide non-coding RNA is filed under the name Leuconostoc carnosum. Its description in RNAcentral is "Purine". It matches the Rfam family "Purine riboswitch aptamer". From Rfam's summary of the family: Riboswitches are metabolite binding domains within certain messenger RNAs that serve as precision sensors for their corresponding targets. Allosteric rearrangement of mRNA structure is mediated by ligand binding, and this results in modulation of gene expression. Lineage: Bacteria; Bacillati; Bacillota; Bacilli; Lactobacillales; Lactobacillaceae. The record is from RNAcentral. RNAcentral also lists the same sequence under 1 other name.
AUUAAUAAAUAUUGGUUUGCAGAUAUAUUGCUAGAAAAUGGCUAGCAGUUUCUACCACGCCCCUAAAGUCGUGACUAUUCGCAAAUGCAACACGACC